AGUGGCGGACGGGUGAGUAACACGUGAGCAACCUACCUUCAAGAGGGGGAUAGCACCUGGAAACGGGUGGUAAUACCGCAUAAGACCACGGAGCCGCAUGGCUUUGGGGUCAAAGGAGCAAUCCGCUUGAAGAUGGGCUCGCGUCCGAUUAGAUAGUUGGUGAGGUAACGGCUCACCAAGUCGACGAUCGGUAGCCGGACUGAGAGGUUGAACGGCCACAUUGGGACUGAGACACGGCCCAGACUCCUACGGGAGGCAGCAGUGGGGGAUAUUGCACAAUGGGCGAAAGCCUGAUGCAGCGACGCCGCGUGAGGGAAGACGGCCUUCGGGUUGUAAACCUCUGUCAUUCGGGACGAAUCAGAUGACGGUACCGAAGAAGGAAGCUCCGGCUAACUACGUGCCAGCAGCCGCGGUAAUACGUAGGGAGCGAGCGUUGUCCGGAAUUACUGGGUGUAAAGGGAGCGUAGGCGGGAAAGCAAGUUGGAAGUGAAAUGCGUGGGCUCAACCCAUGAGCUGCUUUCAAAACUGUUUUUCUUGAGUGAAGUAGAGGCAGGCGGAAUUCCUAGUGUAGCGGUGAAAUGCGUAGAUAUUAGGAGGAACACCAGUGGCGAAGGCGGCCUGCUGGGCUUUAACUGACGCUGAGGCUCGAAAGCGUGGGUAGCAAACAGGAUUAGAUACCCUGGUAGUCCACGCUGUAAACGAUGAUUACUAGGUGUGGGGGAUU
Molecule: ribosomal RNA, 724 nt
Filed under: uncultured bacterium
Lineage: Bacteria
Description: bacterial SSU rRNA
Rfam family: Bacterial small subunit ribosomal RNA
Source: RNAcentral